Long non-coding RNA from Pseudophryne corroboree (corroboree frog), 1473 nucleotides. RefSeq lists it as uncharacterized. Lineage: Eukaryota; Metazoa; Chordata; Amphibia; Anura; Myobatrachidae. The record is from RefSeq and is a predicted model, not a curated record. The transcript is spliced from 4 exons.
AUCGGACUCGGAGCUGAGCAGUGUAGCAGGGGUGGAGGGAAACGAGGACCUGAAGUGCCAGCAGCAGCCACCCGUGCACAGUGACUGGGGUGCUGCUCACUGUAUCACUGGUAACUGUAUUGCCCUGUGUAACCUCCUUUGCAUGGCCAGCGGUGAUCUGCAGGUGAAGGUGCAAUGGGGGUAACCUCACCCAGAAGUUAGUAUCCACCAGUUUACUCACAACACCAGGGUGAUGGCUGUGACCUGGCUAUUACUUGUUGCAGAGAGAUCUUCAAGAGACACAGGACAGGAGCUGGUCCAAUGGUCAGAGAAUGCAACAGACAGGAACAGAUGACAGCGGAGCACUGAGCAGGCUGUGGAUAAGCUUGGGAGUUUCUGUAAGAGAAGGAAGAUCCACUGGAGCUGCUUUCUCAGCGUCAAGAAAUUCGCUCUGAGAGUUCGAUAAACAAAGGUGGAGAAAAGUAGACCCAGUGGAGUUGAUACCGAGAUUGAAGGAACUGGGAUUAUAUUGAGAAAGAGAUUUAUACGCCCGUAUUGGAUUCGGGAUAUAUAAGGGGAAGACGCCGACCUGACUAACGAGGACUAGACUGCAAAGAGACCAGCUGUAAUUACUCAACAUAUGUGAGAACUGGAUUGCUCCAUAAAAUAUAUGUGGGACUUGUAGUGCUAUGAGACUUGUGGAUGGUUACUAAUGGAAGCGCAUAGAAAGACUUUCUUUUUUAUUUUAUUGUGUAUCCAAUUUUUCUAUUGCUGCUUUAUAGUUGUCACAAUGUCUAAGUUUGCUGAUUUAAGAUCAAAGCGAUCCCAGCACUGUUCAAAAUUUUUAAUGAUGAUAGAGAAUGAGAUAAGGUCAGAUUAUGUAUAUUAUAAACCACUGAAGAUAAUUAUGUGAAGGCAGAACGUCUUUUUAUUAAAGAAACAAGAAUCUGGUGGGAUACUAAAGGACUUGAAAAUUAUAUAAAGUGCAGCAGAGUCCCAAGAGGACUAAGGAUAAUAAAAAAAAUCCCACGUUUGGUAAUUCUGAUGAGAAAUUUCAGAAAGAAUGGAAUAGGAUUUUAGACGAAUGCUCUCUAGAUCUAAUGCGGUUAAUUGUUUUUGAAAAAAAAAAUGCUUAAAGAGAGAAAAAGAAAUGUGCAAGGUAGAAAAAGUAUUAGAAACAUCUAAAAAUACCAAAUGCAGUAGUACAUUUAUUGAAUAUAUGGAGGAGGUAGUGUCUAACGUAGAAAAAGAAAUUCUAGAACUAAAAAUAAAACAAUUCAGCUGCUGCGAGAAAGAAGAUUCUGAAAAAGGGCAGGUAAGGAAUUGGCCUAAAGCCCAGACAGAAAUUAGAACUGAAGGUACCUUUAAAGACUAAAACCCCUUAAGGGGUAAGCGGAAUCCGUCAGCUAACUGGCUGAAUAAUCUGGGUGAGGUUAGAAGUAGAAGUGAAAAGUCAAGUUUUAAAUGACAAAAAGUCCAGAGAGAUAAAGCGGG